AUGCAAGUCGAGGGGCAGCGCGGGUAGCAAUACCUGGCGGCGACCGGCAAACGGGUGCGGAACACGUACGCAACCUUCCCAAAACUGGGGAGUAGCCCUCCGAAAGGAGGAUUAAUACCCCGUAACAUAAUGAAGAGGCAUCUCUUUAUUAUUAUAGCUCAGGCGGUUUUGGAUGGGCGUGCGGCUGAUUAGGUAGUUGGCGGGGUAACGGCCCACCAAGCCUGCGAUCAGUAACUGGUGUGAGAGCACGACCAGUCACACGGGCACUGAGACACGGGCCCGACUCCUACGGGAGGCAGCAGUAAGGAAUAUUGGUCAAUGGACGCAAGUCUGAACCAGCCAUGCCGCGUGAAGGAUGAAGGUCCUCUGGAUUGUAAACUUCUUUUAUCUGGGACGAAAAAAGGGAAUUCUUUCUCACUUGACGGUACCAGAGGAAUAAGCACCGGCUAACUCCGUGCCAGCAGCCGCGGUAAUACGGAGGGUGCAAGCGUUAUCCGGAUUUACUGGGUUUAAAGGGUGCGUAGGUGGGCAGUUAAGUCAGUGGUGAAAUCUUCGAGCUCAACUCGGAAACUGCCAUUGAUACUAUCUGUCUUGAAUAUCCUGGAGGUGAGCGGAAUAUGUCAUGUAGCGGUGAAAUGCUUAGAUAUGACAUAGAACACCAAUUGCGAAGGCAGCUCACUACGGGAUGAUUGACACUGAGGCACGAAAGCGUGGGGAUCAAACAGGAUUAGAUACCCUGGUAGUCCACGCCCUAAACGAUGGAUACUCGACAUACGCGAUACACUGUGUGUGUCUGAGCGAAAGCAUUAAGUAUCCCACCUGGGAAGUACGA
This 832-nucleotide ribosomal RNA is filed under the name uncultured bacterium. RNAcentral describes it as "bacterial SSU rRNA". It matches the Rfam family "Bacterial small subunit ribosomal RNA", at positions 55 to 885 of the family's 1533-position model. The record is from RNAcentral.